CCUACGGGUGGCAGCAGUGAGGAAUAUUGGUCAAUGGACGAGAGUCUGAACCAGCCAAGUAGCGUGAAGGAUGACUGCCCUACGGGUUGUAAACUUCUUUUAUAAAGGAAUAAAAUGAGGCACGUGUGCCUUUUUGCAUGUACUUUAUGAAUAAGGAUCGGCUAACUCCGUGCCAGCAGCCGCGGUAAUACGGAGGAUCCGAGCGUUAUCCGGAUUUAUUGGGUUUAAAGGGAGCGUAGAUGGGUUGUUAAGUCAGUUGUGAAAGUUUGCGGCUCAACCGUAAAAUUGCAAUUGAUACUGGCAGUCUUGAGUACAGUUGAGGUAGGCGGAAUUCGUGGUGUAGCGGUGAAAUGCUUAGAUAUCACGAAGAACUCCGAUUGCGAAGGCAGCUUACCAAACUACGACUGACGUUGAUGCACGAAAGUGUGGGUAUCAAACAGGAUUAGAUACCCGUGUAGUC
This 460-nucleotide ribosomal RNA is filed under the name uncultured bacterium. RNAcentral describes it as "partial 16S ribosomal RNA". It matches the Rfam family "Bacterial small subunit ribosomal RNA", at positions 338 to 795 of the family's 1533-position model. The record is from RNAcentral.